AAGGAGCAUCUAGAUUCCUUCGGGAAUCCAGAGCCACUACGUCGGCAAAUGUUCGACGGUGGUCAGCUCAUGGGUGGAACGUUGACUAUUCGGCACGAUCAAUCGGUUUCUGCUAGUACUGCUUCGGCGUGGAACACAGGAGAAGAGGGAUCGGUGUCGGGCACGUUGUUGGGUGUCUGAGGGUGCGGCCGUAAGCUUGUUCCUUCGUUCCGGCCCCAGUGAACUCGUCCUCAGGACGGGGUGGUGGGUGGCUGGUCGUUGUUUGAGAACUGCACAGUGGACGCGAGCAUCUGU
Molecule: unclassified non-coding RNA, 294 nt
Filed under: Streptomyces albidoflavus
Lineage: Bacteria; Bacillati; Actinomycetota; Actinomycetes; Kitasatosporales; Streptomycetaceae
Description: partial 16S-23S ribosomal RNA gene spacer
Source: RNAcentral